CUUCUUCAGAAAACUUUUGCUGGAUUUUCCUCCAUCCUGAAGCCCAAGCCCAGCGGGAAGCACACAGUGGGUCCAGAUGAGCUGUCAAUCAACUGGAGCAGCUAAGAGAAGAGCAGACGGUCUGACUGGACAUGGACCACACACCAUAUGUCCUGGUUUUCCUCUGCAUGUCCAUUCAAGGGCUCCUGUCUGAAAACAACAGCACUUCAACAGGGGCGGACCACUUCAGGUUGGUGGGAGG
Molecule: long non-coding RNA, 241 nt
Organism: Sphaeramia orbicularis (orbiculate cardinalfish)
Lineage: Eukaryota; Metazoa; Chordata; Actinopteri; Kurtiformes; Apogonidae
Exons: 4
Source: RefSeq, a predicted model, not a curated record